Molecule: ribosomal RNA, 120 nt
Filed under: Stachybotrys chlorohalonatus IBT 40285
Lineage: Eukaryota; Fungi; Ascomycota; Sordariomycetes; Hypocreales; Stachybotryaceae
Source: RNAcentral
ACAUACGACCAUACCUACAAGAGAAUACGGGGUCCCGUCCGCUCCCCCCCAGUCAAACUUGUGAGGGGCAGAUUAGUAGUUGGGUCGGUGACGACCAGCGAACACCGGCUGUUGUAUGUU